AUGCUAACUGAAGAAGAGAGGCUCUUAAGAGACCUGCUGAAAAAGAAGUUGUUGGGUUUUGCAGCUAUUGAGAGAAUUAGAAUUCGGCAAUGGUCCAGGUUAACUUGGAUUAAGGUUGGGGACGCAAACUCAAAACUUUUCCAGCUCAGGGCGAAUGGGCGCAGACGCAAAAACCACAUCCCCUACUUGCAAGGGCCUGAAGGCUUUGUCUUUGAAAAGCAGCAAAAGGCUCAAAUCCUAUGGGAGCAUUUCAACAAUCUGAUGGGAACUGCUAGGCAGCGUAACUUCAGCUUAAAUUGGGAAUAUCUGCAGCUUCCUUCCUUCAACCUUGAGCAUCUGGAUGCCAUAUUCACCAUGGAGGAGUUAAAAAAGGCGGUUCUAGAAAUGCAUGAUGAGAAGUCCCCUGGCCCGGAUGGUUUUAUUGGAGGUUUUUUCAAGAAGUGUUGGGAGCUCAUUAAAGGAGAUUUGCUGGAGGCCAUCAAUCAAUUUUUUCAUCUCAGAGGGAAAACAUGGAAUCUUUUGAAUAAUGCUUUCAUUGUGCUGCUGCCAAAGAAAGGAAAUGCUGAUCAUGCUGCUGAUUUUAGGCCAAUUAGUCUCAUGCAUAGUGUGGCAAAGAUUCUAUGCAAAAUCUUGGCAAACAGAAUGGCCCCGGAAUUACAACAUAUGAUCUCUGCAAGUCAAACUGCCUUCCUUAAGGGACGUAGCAUUCAAGAUAAUUUUUUGUAUGUCCAGAAUGUCAUAAGACGGGCAUUCACAAAAAAUUCACCGCUCAUCUUCCUCAAAUUGGAUAUCUCUAAGGCCUUUGAUUCUGUGCAUUGGAGCUACAUGUUGGAGGUGCUAAAAGGUUUUGAUUUCGGGCAAAGAUGGACGGACAUGAUUGCUUUGCUGCUCUCGACUUCCUCUUCACGGGUCCUCCUCAACGGCUGUCCAGGUGAACCGUUCCUGCACCGGAGGGGGUUGCGCCAGGGAGACCCGUUGUCGCCGAUGUUAUUCCUUCUUGCAAUGGAACCACUACAAAAAAUGAUCGCCAUGGCAUCGGCUGAUGGUCUUCUCACUCCUUUAAGCCAUCAGGCCACCAGUUUGAGAACCAGCCUGUACGCGGAUGACGCGGCACUUUUUGUCAACCCCAUCAGAGAAGAAAUUGCAGCUACUCAGAGAAUUCUGCUUAGAUUUGGAGAGAUCUCUGGCUUGAUGAACAACCUAGGGAAGUGCAUGGCAUUCAAGAUCCGGUGCAACGAUGAAGAGCAUGGAGAGGUUUUACAGGACUUUGAAGGAAAGGAGGGUUUGUUCCCUUGCCAAUAA
RNAcentral lists this ribosomal RNA (1302 nucleotides) under Triticum aestivum (bread wheat). Its description in RNAcentral is "partial small subunit ribosomal RNA". Lineage: Eukaryota; Viridiplantae; Streptophyta; Magnoliopsida; Poales; Poaceae. The record is from RNAcentral.